AUGCGGCCACCACUUUCAUGAUUCCUGCUUGCAGCGCAUCACUCCUCUAAACCAAGCUCAAGAUCCUCCAUGUAUCCCAUGUGCCAUGAGUGACAAGGACUAGCUCUCAUCACACACAAAGCUCAAGCUAAUAAUGAGAAUGAUUAGAUUGGCCAUUUGUAAGGUAAGUGUUUAGGGCCUAAGAGUACCUUCUUUUGCCAAAAUUAUGAGCUUUGGUACAUGGGCCUCUCUUGAAUGAGCUGAUUAACUAACAGGGCAGAGAAUUUAUAAGGCCUUAGGAGGAAGAGUGGGUGUGGAACCCUUUUAUGCUGUAUUAGUAAUUUAAUAUGCACAAUUCCCAAAAGUGUAUGAUGAGUUGACCCUAAAAAGCGGUUAGUUGUACCAACAUUUUGAGAUGGUGUCUCCCAUUCAUGAGGGCUAUUUCCACAAUUUGAGGACUUUCUUCUUAUGAGGCUUAUCUUCUCUCUUCCCCUCCCUCUCAUGUAGCAUAAAAAAAAAAGUUAAA
This 505-nucleotide unclassified non-coding RNA is filed under the name Hevea brasiliensis (rubber tree). Lineage: Eukaryota; Viridiplantae; Streptophyta; Magnoliopsida; Malpighiales; Euphorbiaceae. The record is from RNAcentral.